AAUACUAAUGUCCCUAGUUAAUGCCAGGAAGAUAUAUAGCCGCGUAGUCAUAGAUUCUGACUGGCAAAUAAACUGAUACUGGCUUUCAGAGGUUAAUAAUGACGAUGCUCGAUUAUUCCGGACUCAUUUAAUCACUGUCUGUACAACGGGGCCUGUAGCAGAUGCUUUUUUGUGAAUCAGGAACUUCCAAAGCAAACAGUACGGAAUGACUGUGGUAUCAACAUGUUGAUGACAGUGUCUUUUGACCAGCACAUCACCAGAAGCAACAAAUGCAAGGAAGAACAGGAGUCCUGCCAGGAGUUUUGCUCAGCCACUGAGGAUCCUUUAAAUGCAUUUCUGUUGUGGUCUGUAAUGUAAGCAGGAAGCAAGUGCAAGUGUUGAGCUGAUUUAUUUGGGGAUAAGAAGCAGGGAAACAGGUGACACCAUAGUUUUCUUUGAAUUUUAACCCAACGCACCAGUGGCCUUCACCAACAUUUAUCAGUGAGUACUUCUCUAGCAAGGUUUUAAUGCGUGAGUAAGGGAAAAAUUGUGUAUUUAUAAAAACUGGAAAAUGA
Long non-coding RNA from Anguilla anguilla (European eel), 554 nucleotides. RefSeq lists it as uncharacterized. The record is from RefSeq and is a predicted model, not a curated record. The transcript has 3 exons. NCBI's taxonomy places the organism in Eukaryota, Metazoa, Chordata, Actinopteri, Anguilliformes, Anguillidae.